GUGCCAGCCGCCGCGGUAAUACGGAGGGUGCAAGCGUUGUUCGGAAUUACUGGGCGUAAAGCGCGUGUAGGCGGCGGCGCAAGUCGGGUGUGAAAGCCCUGGGCUCAACCGAGGAAUUGCGCUCGAAACUGCGCUGCUAGAGUACGAGAGAGGGACGUGGAAUUCCUGGUGUAGAGGUGAAAUUCGUAGAUAUCAGGAGGAACACCUGUGGCGAAGGCGACGUCCUAGAUCGAUACUGACGCUGAGACGCGAAAGCGUGGGGAGCAAACAGGAUUAGAUACCCGUGUAGUCC
This 292-nucleotide ribosomal RNA is filed under the name uncultured bacterium. RNAcentral's name for it is "partial 16S ribosomal RNA". It matches the Rfam family "Bacterial small subunit ribosomal RNA", at positions 505 to 796 of the family's 1533-position model. The record is from RNAcentral.